RNAcentral lists this long non-coding RNA (2373 nucleotides) under Sorghum bicolor (sorghum). Its description in RNAcentral is "long non-coding RNA (SBIC_LNC008589)". The record is from RNAcentral. Lineage: Eukaryota; Viridiplantae; Streptophyta; Magnoliopsida; Poales; Poaceae.
GGGGUCUGGUUUUAUAGUCCCUCCAAGUGAAUAUGGGUCGUUGGAUCAAACCGACAUUGAUUGAACGGUUAUCCUUGAUCCUUUAGGUCGGUGGAGCAAUAUCCCGAAAGAGAGUCCUGAUUGGACUCUAUGUGAGGGCGGGCGCCUAGGAGAGUAGGGCGGGCGCCCUAUCCCUGAGUCCUCUUGGCUUCCUGUUUGUUCCUGUGGCUUUUGGAGUCUUCUAGAUGGUAGAAAAUUGCGCAGCACGUUAAUAUCUCUAUGUAAACCCGACGUGUGGGCCUUUCCUCCGUAUUUCCUGAUAACCCCCGGCAGAAAUAGACAAAUACCAAAACUCGUGGAAUUCUGUCAGAUAAAAUCCUAAGUCUGGGUGUUGGUUGCAUAUAGAUCCUUUUCCAUAAUUAGUUGAUGGUUAAAUUUGAGCAUUAAGGACCGUCAACAAGCUCCCCCAAGCUUAACCUUUGCUUGUCCCUGAGCAAAGAUGAACUUAAGAGUUUCUGCAGUGGUUUCAUUCCUUAAAGGUACACAUGCGUUCAAGGAAGAUCUCAUCUCUGGGUUAGGGUAAACUAUUAAGAUUUAAACUUACUCAUUUUUCCUUCCACCAUGGGGCUUGCACCCGUCACUUGUGUCUUGAGCAGUUAAAAGAUAGAACGGUCUAGUCAAGCGUCAUGUCUCUUGUUCUUCGAUUAACUAUAGCUCUGGAGUUUUUGCAGAUUUUCAAAUAAAACCCAGAGAUUCCUUAUAUGACUCUCUCUAGUCUCUCUUUUGUGGUAUCUCUGGAUCCUUACCAAGGCAGUAAUAGUGUAUGCCUUCUCUCAAAGUAUGUGGUAUUUUUGGUAUGAGGCAUAGUGACAUUGCCUUCUCUCUCACCCUACUCUAAUAAGGUUUUGAUAUCUGGAGCUCAUAGGUGGGAGACAGCUAAUACAUACUUACAAGACAUUUAUUGCAUAGUCAAACCAUGGAUCUAGAAGAACAAGUCAAUAAGUCAAAUCAAGAUGUGCAUGUGUGGCGAAUGAAUGGUGUAUGGUGAUGAUGGUGAUAACAAUGGUGAAAGUCCAAUUCUACUUAUGCUCUUUUGAGAGGAUACAUACCUUUCUUGCUCUUUUGAAACUUUUUGAGGAGAAUGAGAUGCUCUAUAUUUUCUUUUUCUUUUCUCUCAGGUGGGUAUCUUGUACCCCUAAUUCUACUGUCGGACACUUGUCCAUUUUUACCUCUCGUCUCACUUUUUCUUUUCUUUCGAGGUUCCGGGCACUUGCCCCUUUUUAUUUCCUCGUAUCUUUUUUUCUCUCUCUCUUCUUUUUUUUAGAGCACUCAUCUCUUGAAAUAAUGUAACAAGUGGUAGUAAACAAGAUAACUUGAGCAUUUAUUUCACAGGGGAAAACAGAAAUGAUUUUGGCUAUUCUCUCCCGGAUUAGGAGUAGAAUAUUUUUGGGUGGUUUUGGAGAUGGAAAUGGUUUGAUAUAUGUGGAUGCGUACUUCCGGAGUAGAAGCAGCAUGUGCGAAUGAACGUGCAAGUGAAUCUUAAUUUAACCACAUGACAAGCUCCUAAGGGUCUACACAGCUUGACCACACUCAAUGCUCAUAAGCAGUAAAAAGUAAAUGUGUGGCUCAAAGUCUAGCAAGCAUGUAUAUAUGGCUGUGGUAGGAAUUUAAACUCUCAUCAUACAGGAACUCAUCAUGUGUUAUUUUAAAGAUUUUCAAAGAUAAACUUCUCCAGUUUUCUAGCAUCUCUAGGAACAGAUAAACAGCAGCUCAACCUUUCCAUACCAUAUCCGUUAACGACUUAGACUUUAGAUCAAGUACUCUUCCCACAAGUUCAGGUUUAGAGCAAUGCUUAAUUAAUAACAGUCAUGCCUAAACUUGAGAGAGAUUUCAAUUUUGAGAAUUAGUCAUGGCAGAGCAACUAUUCAUCAUUUCCAUGUGAGAGCUAUCAUGAGGGUUCAUAGCAGACUUUAUUUAUUUAUUUAUUUAGCAAACUAAACAAAGAUACAUAUAAGCACAAAAUCUUUAUUUGGGUUUUUAUGAUUAUACAUCUUUUUAUUAUUUGAGUAAAGUAUAAACGUGAGUAGAACACUUAGCUGGAUAAAAGGGGGUGCUCUCCCCCAAGCUGGAUUUUGAUGUAAUUUCUUCUGACAUAGCUAGCAGGUGGUGGAGGUGUAUUUGAAUGUCGGUAGUGUUGACGGUCCUUAAGUAUCAAAUUUAAUUAUCAAAUAAACAAAGAAAAGGAUCCAAAUGAAAUCAACAUCUAGACUUAGGGUUUUAUCUGACAGAAUUCCAUGAGUUUUGGUGUUUGUCUAUUUCUACAGGGGGUUAUCAGGAAAUAAGGAAGAAAGGCCCACAUGUCGGGAUUACAUAGAGAUAUCAACCCACCGCGCA